Capsella rubella is the source of this 667-nucleotide long non-coding RNA. RefSeq lists it as uncharacterized. The record is from RefSeq and is a predicted model, not a curated record. NCBI's taxonomy places the organism in Eukaryota, Viridiplantae, Streptophyta, Magnoliopsida, Brassicales, Brassicaceae. The transcript is spliced from 2 exons.
CUCUCCUUGUCAUUGAGCUUCACCGGUGUCGUCAUCAUCGAGCUUUGCCGUCGUCGUCAUCAUCGAGCUUCGCCAUCACCGUCAUCGUUGACCUUCUCUUCAGGUUUGUCGUCAUCAUCGAUCUCCGUUGUUGCCGUCAUCGUUGAGCUUCUCUUCAGAUCUCAUACACUGUCUACAACCAUCGUGAUUCUUAAGGAUGGUAUUGCUACAUACUACAGGUUUUUUGGAUGGCUAAGGGAUGAGUGAAGCCAGACUUGCUACUGAGAUGACACAUGGAGGAGAAGAAACAGAGCUAAGAAAUGGAGUAAUUGAGGACAAGGGAAAGAUCAAGCUGAAGUGCUCAGAAAGAGAGCAAAGUUCUUUGGUGUCGAAAGCUCCUCUUUUCUGUCACAUUUUGGGUCAGUUUGAAUAAUUAGGUUAACUGGUCUAGUUGUUGUUUUGUAUUGUCGAUUUUGUUUGGCCGUGAUAUUAUUGAUAGUAACAGGUAAGAGCUAUAGCCUGCAGUCACAGUCACGAGUGAUGAAAAAUGUAGCAAUCUCUCAUUUCAUCUACUUCUCAUUAUCCUCAUCAAAGAGAGUGGUUCCCUGAUUUCUUCUAGUCUCUGCAGUCUUUGUAUAAUUCUAAAAGUACUGAAACAAGCAAGAAGUAUGAAGGACAAGUUUGAGAA